RNAcentral lists this ribosomal RNA (253 nucleotides) under uncultured bacterium. Its description in RNAcentral is "partial 16S ribosomal RNA". It matches the Rfam family "Bacterial small subunit ribosomal RNA", at positions 524 to 776 of the family's 1533-position model. The record is from RNAcentral.
UACGUAGGGGGCAAGCGUUGUCCGGAAUCAUUGGGCGUAAAGAGCGUGUAGGCGGUCCGGUAAGUCGGUUGUGAAAGUCCAGGGCUCAACCCUGGGAUGCCGACCGAUACUGUCGGACUAGAGUUCGGAAGAGGCGAGUGGAAUUCCCGGUGUAGCGGUGAAAUGCGCAGAUAUCGGGAGGAACACCUAUGGCGAAGGCAGCUCGCUGGGACGUUACUGACGCUGAGGCGCGAAGGCUAGGGGAGCGAACGGG